Molecule: long non-coding RNA, 3629 nt
Organism: Dermacentor albipictus
Lineage: Eukaryota; Metazoa; Arthropoda; Arachnida; Ixodida; Ixodidae
Source: RefSeq, a predicted model, not a curated record
UACCACGUUGGUUGUCGUAAAUGCACAUUACAGUAAGGCGGUAUUUGAGAUAUUUUAGAAGUGCCUAGACAAAAUGUGCUCCUUGUCAUGUGCAGUAACCAUCGCAAACCCUCCGGACUCGUGUAACGCCGUUAGUUCGCCGUGUGUUUCGUGCGAUCUAUCAGUGUCGACAGUGAGUGUCUUACUACAGCGCCCGUCCAGCUGCUUUUGUUCUGCCGAGCUGCCUGCUCGCGCUCUCGUGAAAAGUCUGGUACUGGAGCUUCGAAUCGUAGUGUAUGGAAGGCUGUUGAAGGUUGUGCUUUUGUGGAGCUGGAGUUCAUCGGAAGUUCUACAGUGCUUGCGCCAGAAUGACGUCGGUGCCUCGGUACCUUAGAGACGAAGGAGCGUUGGCCAAGUCUUUUUGAAAGGCUAUGCGGAUUCUGGAGGCAUCCCUGCAUCGAGCAGGAACCUGCUGCACUGCUGGAAGCUGGACAGCACGACAAUAAAGCACGUGAUCUGUGCGCUUUCUCAAAGGUAGACAUCGGCGACGGUGUAUAUGUUGAAAAGGGCCUGCUGAAGAGGCUGCGCCUGGAUGCUAACAACUCGGGCUUUCAGUUUGCGGGGGGCCUCCUUAAGGCUCCUUUUACAAAAGAAGAGGUUGAAGGGAGGCGCUACACAUGGAUGCGCAGCGAUUGUUUGUGACAGCGUCACUGCUGGCAGGCCUGGCCUGCCUUUUCGCUUUGUUCUGGGUCUUCCACGUUAUCUACUCGAAAAAGGCCCACAGGAUUUUGACAUUUAUUGAGCACUGCUUUCUGGAUUUUCGCUACACAAAGCCGCAGGUGAAAGCAUUGGAUUUAGUCAAUUUUUACAAGAACUAUUGCUAGGCAAAAAAAUUUUCAGAUGCAUAUCCUCAAGAAAGUUUCUGUCAAAAUUAUUUUGCCUAACAAAAGCACUCGUGGGUUCUGUGGCUGACAGGUUGCCCAAGCCAUGUAGCACAGUGCUUGCUUUAAAGGGACACGAAAAAGAAAAUUUAUUUGAGCUUUAUUAGAUCAUUCUUCUACAACACCGAAAAAACAACUCCCACCAUGAGAAUUGGCUUGAUAAGCCAGAUAACUUGCAAAAACGAAAACUGGUGUCGCCACCACCACCUUAUAGUUCCUGCACCAGCUCGCUGUGAUAUGGAAUUUGACGGUGUCUGUUCGGGUCUAGCUAAUGUUCUACUGGCCAAUAUUGAUGAAUUCUGUUGUAAAGGUGUCAAAGAAUAUACUUAGUUGAAGUAUGACUCCACAUUGAUGUGCGGGCACUGCAUAAAACAUGAAAAAUUAAAGUUAAAUCUUCAUUUUCUCAUCUAAUAAUCCGCUUAUUGCCACAAUGUUCAUGAAUACAGUUCUGAAAGAUUGUUUUAUCAGUAUAAUGAUUUACUGUUUCACUUUAGUAUUUCUGUUAUGGACCUUCAGCAACAAAAUGUGUGUUAGUAUUCCACAGGUAUUCUCAGCGGGGGCAAAAGCACCAGCAGCAUGCUCAAUGAUUCUGUACCAACUGAUAACUUGAAGGAUAUCCUGUGCCACUAGGGUUAGGCCAACGUGGCUCUGUGUUAAUCACCACAAGUGUAUUAUGCAAAACUUAAUGGCCCAGAAAUUGGUAAUUCAGGAGGGAGUUGAAUUAGCUAUUUUUUUUUCUUUAUCAUGGACUUCUCACAUUACACUUUGUCACAAUGCAUUCACUUUAAAGUAACUGUGGAGAAUAAGGUGGUUUGGUAUUGAGACAUGCCUUCUGUGUGUAAACAGUGUUAGAUGAGCAAUACAAAGAUACACCAUAGAUGCUGACUGGCAACAUGAAGGGGUUUGAGGGCAGCUACAAAUAUACAUCCUUGUAGUCGUACCUAUAGCACCAUGUUCAAUUUGUCACACAAGCAUAUGGCAUCCAUCACAACUGCAUGCCUAGAAACGGACAAGGGCAACACACUCAAUUCCCUUUUAGUCUAUCUAAGAAGCACUACAAUUUUUAGGCAACGAAAUUGAAAUCUGGCUUGUACCCAUAAGUACUGCAAUACAGUUGUGCAACAUGUUCCUCUUGUGUGGAAAAAGGGCUGCAUAUGUUUUCUUUGAGCACAAGGGGGAGUGGUAUCAGUUAGAGCCCCUCCAUCCACGUGCCACUGCCGCUUUCUUAAGUAGCGACAACCUUUGUUGUGCGCCGCCUUUUCCCCUCACACCAAAUCCAGUCCCAGCAUUUCCAGUUUAAAAGUUUCCGGUUCCGGCGUUACCGCUUCCUGAAGUUGUGCUGCGGGAAUUUCCGCUUUGACUGCCGAUGGUGAGACGCCCACGCGUGCUUAGCAGAGCUGUGGGAGUCACCAUGAGAAGAAUGCAAAGGCGACAAGCUGUUGUAUUCCGCUGAAGUAGUAAUUCGUGGUCGCUGUUUUCUAAAUGCACGAAAAACGGCAGUGGUCUCCAAGCACCCAGGCACUGCAUUCCACUGUACGUUGUCUCUCGUGGCACAACCCGUCGCAGGUUGACGCGAAACAGCGAACACAAUCAGAUCGCUGAUUGCAAUAGGCGGUGGUUUUUGGAUGGAAUCGCAUUCACAGUUUAAACCGCAGCUGGUGCAAUUAAAGCCUCUCCAUCGACGCGAAAGUAAACAACGUUAAAGGGACCCUGAAACGAUUUUGGCGAUUUUCUACAAACGUACUGAGUCGUUAGAGUAGGUCCUUCUGAUCAUUAAUUGAUGCAUCUAAGUGCUCUGCGUAAAGCGUGUAAUUUAUUAUAAGGUUUUAAAAAUACACAUCGCUGCCGAUCGCAGCGCACUGCUCGGCGGAAUUUUAAGCCGCCCCUACCCAUAUGAUGCAAAUAACCCAUAUUACGUCACAUGGGCGAGCUAUCUGAUUGGCUGACCAGGGCGCGUGGUCGAUAAUUUUUCCAACUUUAUGGUGAACAAAUGAUGCUCGUAAUAGUUGGAAUGUUAGUUACUUUGUUUUUGUAAAAAGAAAAUAACUUAAAGAGAAUACACAAGAAUAGUUUUUUAGUACACUUCAGCACUUCCGGCACACAGCAAGUGUCGUCUGCUUGUGUUACAACGUACUCCAUUUUGACGAGAACUCCGCGGUCAGAGUCGGUCUCAAUCUUUUUGCGAGCACUAUGAUUCGACUUUGUUGCCUUGUGGACUGCAAACCUAGCGACCUGCAAACCGCGAGUCCAGUAUUAGGGCAAACGCAAGCGCAACGGGACAGGGUCUGGCCGCUUGACUGUGCCGGGAUGAGCCACGAGAGAAGGGCAAAUGUGAACGGUCUGCACGGUGCAGCCACCUGGUGGCACAGAGUUCAACCAUACACAGUAGCAGCAACGAAGUGUAUUCUUUGCUGCUGGUGUGUAUUUUUCGCAGGAGUGUAAUCAUCAACACGUUGAUUUAUAAAAGUUUAAAAUGCUUUACACUUGGUUAGAGCAAUAUUAGCGCUUUGUUUGACUGGUUAAGCGCUGCGCCAGCAAGUGUCUGGACCGUGCAGACCGAUCAGGCUGCUCACGUACGUCUACGCUAAAGUUCCUUCAUCAGCUUGCGUUUAUGCCUCCAGUCAUUUGCCGAAAUGACCAGCUUGCCUGUUUUUAGCGGAGUACCGGACACGUUCGGCGCUAAGACAGAAUGCUCGCAACGCACGCUGC